GAUGAACGCUGGCGGCGUGCCUAAUACAUGCAAGUCGAGCGAACAGACGAGGAGCUUGCUCCUCUGACGUUAGCGGCGGACGGGUGAGUAACACGUGGAUAACCUACCUAUAAGACUGGGAUAACUUCGGGAAACCGGAGCUAAUACCGGAUAAUAUAUUGAACCGCAUGGUUCAAUAGUGAAAUACGGUUUUGCUGUCACUUAUAGAUGGAUCCGCGCCGCAUUAGCUAGUUGGUAAGGUAACGGCUUACCAAGGCAACGAUGCGUAGCCGACCUGAGAGGGUGAUCGGCCACACUGGAACUGAGACACGGUCCAGACUCCUACGGGAGGCAGCAGUAGGGAAUCUGACGCAAUGGGCGAAAGCCUGACGGAGCAACGCCGCGUGAGUGAUGAAGGUCUUCGGAUCGUAAAACUCUGUUAUUAGGGAAGAACAAAUGUGUAAGUAACUAUGCACGUCUUGACGGUACCUAAUCAGAAAGCCACGGCUAACUACGUG
This 497-nucleotide ribosomal RNA is filed under the name uncultured bacterium. Its description in RNAcentral is "partial 16S ribosomal RNA". It matches the Rfam family "Bacterial small subunit ribosomal RNA", at positions 28 to 507 of the family's 1533-position model. The record is from RNAcentral.